GAUGAACGCUGGCGGCGUGCCUAAUACAUGCAAGUCGAACGCUGAAGGAGGAGCUUGCUCUUCUGGAUUAGUUGCGAACGGGUGAGUAACGCGUAGGUAACCUGCCUGGUAGCGGGGGAUAACUCUUGGAAACGAUAGCUAAUACCGCAUGCCAACAGUUAUUGCAUGAUAUCUGUGUGAAAGGGGCAACUGCUCCACUACCAGAUGGCCCUGCGUUGUAUUAGCUAGUUGGUGAGGUAACGGCUCACCAAGGCGCCGAUAGAUGGCCGACCUGAGAGGUGGAUCGGCCACCCUGGGACCUAGACACGGCCCAGACUCCAGCGGGAGGCAGCAGGAGGGAAUCGUCGGCAAUGGACGGAAGUCGGACCGAGCAACGACGCGUGAGGGAAGAAGGAUGUCGGAUCGCAAAUCUCAGUUGUAAGAGAAGAACGAGUGUGAGAGUGGAAUGUUCACACUGUGACGGUAUCUGACCAGAAAGGGACGGCUAACUACGUG
This 495-nucleotide ribosomal RNA is filed under the name uncultured bacterium. RNAcentral describes it as "partial 16S ribosomal RNA". It matches the Rfam family "Bacterial small subunit ribosomal RNA", at positions 28 to 507 of the family's 1533-position model. The record is from RNAcentral.